AUUGAACGCUGGCGGCAUGCCUUACACAUGCAAGUCGAACGGUAACAGGUCUUCGGAUGCUGACGAGUGGCGAACGGGUGAGUAAUACAUCGGAACGUGCCUAGUAGUGGGGGAUAACUACUCGAAAGAGUGGCUAAUACCGCAUGAGAUCUACGGAUGAAAGCAGGGGAUCGCAGGACCUUGUGCUACUAGAGCGGCCGAUGGCAGAUUAGGUAGUUGGUGGGAUAAAAGCUUACCAAGCCGACGAUCUGUAGCUGGUCUGAGAGGACGAUCAGCCACACUGGGACUGAGACACGGCCCAGACUCCUACGGGAGGCAGCAGUGGGGAAUUUUGGACAAUGGGCGCAAGCCUGAUCCAGCAAUGCCGCGUGCAGGAUGAAGGCCUUCGGGUAGUAAACUGCUUUUGUACGGAACGAAAAGCCCUGGGUUAAUACCCUGGGGUCAUGACGGUACCGUAGAAUAAGCACCGGCUAACUACGUGCCAGCCGCCGCCGUAA
RNAcentral lists this ribosomal RNA (497 nucleotides) under uncultured bacterium. RNAcentral's name for it is "partial 16S ribosomal RNA". It matches the Rfam family "Bacterial small subunit ribosomal RNA", at positions 30 to 523 of the family's 1533-position model. The record is from RNAcentral.